UCAGAACUCAGAAAUUCCCCAAAACAUAAAUACUUCUCUCUUUCUCUUACCAAAACGGCGAAAAUGGCGGAUUCUGAUUUUUGUCUCUUUUUUUCUUUGAUGAAGAUUCUCUUGAUCAAUUCAUGGCUAUCGAAACUGAUUCUGCCAUAAAAAUCUGGACAGGCAAGCAUGGAAGAAGAUCCGUUGAUCUGUGUUGAUGUCAUCAAGAUUCCACUGCUCUACUGUGCAACUCUUAAGCUGCAAAAUAUGCUAACUUGAAACCUCUUUGCUCUCAAAAGAGGCACAAGCAGCCAGAUGAAGAACAGCCCGACUGCGGAUGACCCUGCAAAUAGAAGGAAUGUUCCCGAUGACCCGACUGCGUUUGUCAAUGUCAGGAACGUCUCACUCACUACGAGAUUUGACAUCCAGUUUGAGACUGCAGCGAUUCCUCCCGCGAGCCCUCUGUAGCGAAGAGGAUAGAUCUCUGAGUUGACAAUCCAUGGAACUGUGCCCAUACCGGGCGCGUACACAAUGAUGUAGAGGCCAAGGAAGACAAUGGCCAGGUACCCGAACUUGCUGGGGCAUCCGUCUUUGAAGAAGGUUCUGCCUUUCGAGUGGCACAAUGCCUUCAUAUCAGCAGACUGAACAAUGCAUGCUCCAGUUGGAGGGAGGAGAACGGGAGGCUGUGAAUGGGGCAAAUGCGGGACAAGUAGCAUUUUUUGCGAAGUUUCUGGAGUCUCUCUUAUCGAUCUUUGGAGCGUGGUUUGAGGCUUCAUUGAAAACGGCAGCCAAAAUGACAAGGCAAGUUAUGAUCCCGAACAUGGAAAUGAUCAUAAGCUUGCGCCGACCAUAACGGUCUACAAACAUCAUGCUUACUACAGACCCCACUGCAUUGAGACCGGAGGUUAUGAGAGCAAGAGCCAUGGCUGUCUUGUUGGAUGCGUAACCUGCAAACUGCAGAAUAGUAGGACUGUAGUACAUGACUGUGUUGAUUCCCACAAACUGCUGGGCGACCUGGACGGUGAUACCUGCGGCCAGACCGUGGCGGACAACUGGAUUCGAGAGAGCGCCUCUGAGCUUAUCAGAGAAGGUAUGGCCGAUAAUAUCCUCGUCAGCCGUCUCUGCCCGGACAGACUCCUUGAGUGCAGCUAUCUCCGCUUCAACCAUCUCUGCCGGGUAUAUUCUCUCGAGGAUGUCUCUUGACUCGGCUUUCCUAUCAUUUCUAUAGAGCCACCGUGGAGACUCUGGCAGCGUUAGCAUGAGGCAGAACUGAAUGAUCGCUGGAAUCGCCGAGACUCCCAACAUCCACCUCCAUGUACCCGGUGUCUGUGUAAGUGAUCAGUAAGUUAGAGACUUUUCAAAUCUUAAAAAAGAAAAGAAAAUAAACAUAUUUGUGAGUUAGUUUGGUUGGUUACAUGGACGAAGGCAAGGUUGAUGAGAUAAGAUAGAAACUGUCCUCCGGUGAUGAGAAGUCCGUUGGUGCUGACCAAGGCGCCUCUGAUUCUCGCAGGAGACAUCUCAGAGAUGUAAAGCGGUGAGGUCAUAGAAGCCAUACCAACCCCAAAACCCACCAAGAGUCUGCCGAGGAUGAUGACCCACGGCGCAUGAGCAAUCACCAUCACCAGGGCACCCAGCAGGAAGAGCACAUCCGCUAUAAGAACAGACAUCCUCCUACCAAACUUAUCGUUGUACCAUCCUCCUAUAGCUGCUCCAACAAUGGCUCCAGCCACGGUCAUGCUCACAAUGAUCUCCUGAAGCCAUGUCUUGUUGUCUACCUCACCAAACUCCUCUUUUAUAUAGAGAAGAGCCCCUGCGAUGACUCCCGUGUUGUAUCCGAAGAGGAGUCCUCCAAUACCGGCAGAGAGAGCCAGCCGCAUAAUGUAAGGUGUCUCCCAUGUCGUCGUCCACACCUCUGUGAUAUUUAUCUGCUCUGAUUUCGAUGCUUCUUCCACCAUCUCUCUAACUGAAGUGGUUUUCUCGAAACCUUACGCUGAUCGAUAAAUGAUCGAGAAAUGUUUGUAAGUCCAGAAAAGAUGUCCUGAAGAAAGUUACAAGCAUUGAAACUUGAAAGAGUAUAUUUAUAGGAGCAUAAUGGAUUGAGAAAAAAAAGAAACGCCAAGAAUAGGAGAGUUCGAAGACAACAAAUCAGGCUCAAUAUCCAGUUUUUAAUGAUUAGCUAGAGUGACAGUUUGCAAAAAAGUGUCUGUUAUUGACUUGAAAAAAUCUGUUAUGAGUGUUUCCUCUGCAUUCAACUGUUCAAAACUUUAUCUCCUUAGUUGCUGUUUUGUACAACUGUAACCAUACUAUUUUUGGAACAUAACCUGGUUGCUCCCAAAAAAAAGAAAUCAUG
This 2329-nucleotide long non-coding RNA is filed under the name Arabidopsis thaliana (thale cress). RNAcentral describes it as "potential natural antisense gene, locus overlaps with AT2G35740 (AT2G35738)". The record is from RNAcentral. Lineage: Eukaryota; Viridiplantae; Streptophyta; Magnoliopsida; Brassicales; Brassicaceae.